RNAcentral lists this ribosomal RNA (1522 nucleotides) under metagenome. RNAcentral describes it as "bacterial SSU rRNA". It matches the Rfam family "Bacterial small subunit ribosomal RNA". The record is from RNAcentral.
AGAGUUUGAUCAUGGCUCAGAUUGAACGCUGGCGGCAGGCCUAACACAUGCAAGUCGAACGGUAACAGGAAACAGCUUGCUGUUUCGCUGACGAGUGGCGGACGGGUGAGUAAUGUCUGGGAAACUGCCUGAUGGAGGGGGAUAACUACUGGAAACGGUAGCUAAUACCGCAUAACGUCGCAAGACCAAAGAGGGGGACCUUCGGGCCUCUUGCCAUCGGAUGUGCCCAGAUGGGAUUAGCUAGUAGGUGGGGUAACGGCUCACCUAGGCGACGAUCCCUAGCUGGUCUGAGAGGAUGACCAGCCUCACUGGAACUGAGACACGGUCCAGACUCCUACGGGAGGCAGCAGUGGGGAAUAUUGCACAAUGGGCGCAAGCCUGAUGCAGCCAUGCCGCGUGUAUGAAGAAGGCCUUCGGGUUGUAAAGUACUUUCAGCGGGGAGGAAGGGAGUAAAGUUAAUACCUUUGCUCAUUGACGUUACCCGCAGAAGAAGCACCGGCUAACUCCGUGCCAGCAGCCGCGGUAAUACGGAGGGUGCAAGCGUUAAUCGGAAUUACUGGGCGUAAAGCGCACGCAGGCGGUUUGUUAAGUCAGAUGUGAAAUCCCCGGGCUCAACCUGGGAACUGCAUCUGAUACUGGCAAGCUUGAGUCUCGUAGAGGGGGGUAGAAUUCCAGGUGUAGCGGUGGAAUGCGUAGAGAUCUGGAGGAAUACCGGUGGCGAAGGCGGCCCCCUGGACGAAGACUGACGCUCAGGUGCGAAAGCGUGGGGAGCAAACAGGAUUAGAUACCCUGGUAGUCCACGCCGUAAACGAUGUCGACUUGGAGGUUGUGCCCUUGAGGCGUGGCUUCCGGAGCUAACGCGUUAAGUCGACCGCCUGGGGAGUACGGCCGCAAGGUUAAAACUCAAAUGAAUUGACGGGGGCCCGCACAAGCGGUGGAGCAUGUGGUUUAAUUCGAUGCAACGCGAAGAACCUUACCUGGUCUUGACAUCCACGGAAGUUUUCAGAGAUGAGAAUGUGCCUUCGGGAACCGUGAGACAGGUGCUGCAUGGCUGUCGUCAGCUCGUGUUGUGAAAUGUUGGGUUAAGUCCCGCAACGAGCGCAACCCUUAUCCUUUGUUGCCAGCGGUCCGGCCGGGAACUCAAAGGAGACUGCCAGUGAUAAACUGGAGGAAGGUGGGGAUGACGUCAAGUCAUCAUGGCCCUUACGACCAGGGCUACACACGUGCUACAAUGGCGCAUACAAAGAGAAGCGACCUCGCGAGAGCAAGCGGACCUCAUAAAGUGCGUCGUAGUCCGGAUUGGAGUCUGCAACUCGACUCCAUGAAGUCGGAAUCGCUAGUAAUCGUGGAUCAGAAUGCCACGGUGAAUACGUUCCCGGGCCUUGUACACACCGCCCGUCACACCAUGGGAGUGGGUUGCAAAAGAAGUAGGUAGCUUAACCUUCGGGAGGGCGCUUACCACUUUGUGAUUCAUGACUGGGGUGAAGUCGUAACAAGGUAACCGUAGAGGAACCUGCGGUUG